UAGGGUAAUAGUUUAUAAUAAAAUUUUUGAGUUGCAUUCAAAAGAUGUUAAAAAUUAACUUAUCUU
Molecule: transfer RNA, 66 nt
Filed under: Lebiini sp. 2 ACP-2013
Lineage: Eukaryota; Metazoa; Arthropoda; Insecta; Coleoptera; Carabidae
Description: tRNA-Ala
Source: RNAcentral